UACGUAGGGUGCAAGCGUUAAUCGGAAUUACUGGGCGUAAAGCGUGCGCAGGCGGUAAUGUAAGACAGAUGUGAAAUCCCCGGGCUCAACCCUGGGAACUGCAUUUGUGACUGCAUUGCUGGAGUGCGGCAGAGGGGGAUGGAAUUCCACGUGUAGCAGUGAAAUGCGUAGAGAUGUGGAGGAACACCGAUGGCGAAGGCAGCCUCCUGGGCCAGCACUGACGCUCAUGCACGAAAGCGUGGGGAGCAAACAGGA
Molecule: ribosomal RNA, 255 nt
Filed under: uncultured bacterium
Lineage: Bacteria
Description: partial 16S ribosomal RNA
Rfam family: Bacterial small subunit ribosomal RNA
Source: RNAcentral